AGCACUUGUGCGUGUGUGUUUGUUUAAUUUUAACAAAGCCAUACUGACAGGUGCAAGCAGUAAAUUCUCUUUUGCAACCCAGAACUCAUUGUGGAAUAUGAGAUUGUGACACAGGUAAGAAAGAAUAUG
This is a small nucleolar RNA of Perognathus longimembris pacificus (Pacific pocket mouse), 129 nucleotides long. RefSeq annotates it as small nucleolar RNA SNORA40. NCBI's taxonomy places the organism in Eukaryota, Metazoa, Chordata, Mammalia, Rodentia, Heteromyidae. The transcript has a single exon. The record is from RefSeq and is a predicted model, not a curated record.